AAUCUCCCGUGUAAAUAACACACAUGUAUCGACACAUACGCCGGGGUGCCUUGAACAUUCGUGACGGGUCGGUUGUAUGGGAUACAUGGAGGCUUAAC
RNAcentral lists this small RNA (98 nucleotides) under Erwinia tracheiphila. RNAcentral's name for it is "t44 RNA". It matches the Rfam family "t44 RNA". Rfam says of the family: This family consists of a number of bacterial RNA genes of between 135 and 170 bases in length. The t44 gene is found between the map and rpsB genes in all species in the full alignment apart from Shigella flexneri. The record is from Rfam by way of RNAcentral. Lineage: Bacteria; Pseudomonadati; Pseudomonadota; Gammaproteobacteria; Enterobacterales; Erwiniaceae.